This is a long non-coding RNA of Ornithorhynchus anatinus (platypus), 598 nucleotides long. RefSeq lists it as uncharacterized. The record is from RefSeq and is a predicted model, not a curated record. Lineage: Eukaryota; Metazoa; Chordata; Mammalia; Monotremata; Ornithorhynchidae. The transcript has 3 exons.
UCCCGAAAUCCUGGAUCCGAGGUCCCGGCAUCCCCCCGGCUCGCUGGAGCUCUGUGGGUGGGCGGCUCUGCGAGGAGCGAGGAUGAAGCGAGGAGGCGGCAGCGGCGUCAUGCCUCAACAAGUGGAUCUCACUGAACAGGCUGGCCUAGCUCGCGGCCGGGAGCUUGGCAACACAGCGACGCGAUCAUCUCUCAAGGAGGCACUGACUCAGAAACAGAAUUCAUGAAAGCGUCAGAAUUCGCUGUGACAUUCGAAUGUCACCAGGAGAUUCGAGUUCAUCCAUUCGAGUCCUCCAGUAUGGAUUCUGUAUAUUAUCCCAGAGAUUUGCCAUCAGGUUGAAACAGAGACAGAAGUUGAUGAUCAACGGCACUGUCAUCAGACUGCAAUGCCCAUCCAGAUAACGGGAAUGAGAAUUUGGUAAUGAACCUUUCCAAACCACUGGACGGGUCAGAGAAGCGAAGAGUAUCAUAUGCUAAUUCCCCUCCUCCCUUCCUCCUUCCCAUAGAGUUUUGGCGGUUGGCUGAAAAAAUGAUAGAAGAAAAGCUUUAGUCUCCAUCCCUGUCCUUUUUACCCUUCAAAGAUUAUCAGUCAAUCGAUC